AUGGCGUGGCGAGACCCUGCCCAGCAGCCGCUGAGCCAGGGUGGCACUCUUAGUGCCCUUGGGCUGGACCGAUGUCUCCGGGGACCACCCCGCAUGGCAGCGUCCACCAGGCGGACGCUGAUCCAGGCGGUUGAGGAGUCGAGGCGGACGGCGCCGCAGGAGGCAGCGCCAUCCCAGCAGCAGGAUGCGCCGAGGGCGAGGCCACCAGUCCGGCAGCAAAGGCAGAGACGAGGCAGGAACCAGCGGCGUCCUCCUUGGACCACCGCGACGAGAGACGUGAACCAGCGGCGUCCUCCUUGGACCACCGCGACGAGAGGCAGGAACCGAAACAGAUGCGGCCGGAGCCGGACCGCCAGGGACCGAUGCAGAUGCGACCGGAGCCGGGCCGCCAGGAACCGAUGCAGAUGCGGCCGGAGCCGGGACGGGAGCGACCCCCUCCUGGAGGUCGGCAGGAACUACGACGGGAGCGACCCCCUCCUGGAGGUCGGCAGGGACUGCGGCGGGCGCGACCCCCUCCUGGGGGUCCGCCGGGACUGCGGCGGGCGCGACCCCCUCCUGGGGGUCCGCCGGGACUGCGGCGGGCGCGACCCCCUCCUGGGGGUCCGCCGGGACUGCGGCUGGCGCGACCUCCUCCUGGAGGUGCGCCGGGACUGCGGCUGGCGCGACCUCCUCCUGGAGGUGCGCCGGGACUGCGGCUGGCGCGACCUCCUCCUGGAGGUGCGCCGGGACUGCGGCUGGCGCGACCUCCUCCUGGAGGUGCGCCGGGACUGCGGCUGGCGCGACCUCCUCCUGGAGGUGCGCCGGGACUGCGGCUGGCGCGACCUCCUCCUGGAGGUGCGCCGGAACUGCGGCUGGCGCGACCUCCUCCUGGAGGUGCGCCGGAACUGCGGCUGGCGCGACCUCCUCCUGGAGGUGCGCAGGAACUGCGACUGGCGCGACCUCCUCCUGGAGGUGCGCAGGAACUGCGACUGGCGCGACCUCCUCCUGGAGGUGCGCAGGAACUGCGACUGGCGCGACCUCCUCCUGGAGGUGCGCAGGAACUGCGGCUGGCGCGACCUCCUCCUGGAGGUGCGCAGGAGCUGCGGCUGGCGCGACCUCCUCCUGGAGGUGCGCAGGAACUGCGACUAG
Molecule: long non-coding RNA, 1128 nt
Filed under: Betta splendens (Siamese fighting fish)
Lineage: Eukaryota; Metazoa; Chordata; Actinopteri; Anabantiformes; Osphronemidae
Description: lncRNA (ENSBSLG00000001896.1)
Source: RNAcentral